This 460-nucleotide ribosomal RNA is filed under the name uncultured bacterium. RNAcentral's name for it is "SSU rRNA". It matches the Rfam family "Bacterial small subunit ribosomal RNA", at positions 26 to 518 of the family's 1533-position model. The record is from RNAcentral.
AGAAUCAACGCUGGCGGCGUGCCUAACACAUGCAAGUCGAACGAGAAAGUGGAGCAAUCCAUGAGUAAAGUGGCGCACGGGUGAGUAACACGUGACUAACCUACCCUUGAGUGGGGGAUAACCUAGAGAAAUCUGGGCUAAUACCGCAUAAUACCUUCGGGUCAAAGGAGCAAUUCGCUUAAGGAGGGGGUCGCGGCCGAUUAGUUAGUUGGCGGGGUAAUGGCCCACCAAGACUAUGAUCGGUAUCCGGCCUGAGAGGGCGCACGGACACACUGGAACUGAAACACGGUCCAGACUCCUACGGGAGGCAGCAGUGGGAAUUUUGCGCAAUGGGGGAAACCCUGACGCAGCAACGCCGCGUGGAGGAUGAAGUCCCUUGGGACCGUAAACUCCUUUCGAUCGGGACGAUAAUGACGGUACCGAGAGAAGAAGCCCCGGCUAACUUCGCGCCAGCAGCCGC